Molecule: long non-coding RNA, 492 nt
Filed under: Crocodylus porosus (Australian saltwater crocodile)
Lineage: Eukaryota; Metazoa; Chordata; Crocodylia; Crocodylidae
Description: lncRNA (ENSCPRG00005002592.1)
Source: RNAcentral
ACAGUGACUUAUGUGCUUUAACAAAUAUCAGCUGUUUGUUUGGGGUGUAAUGAACAAACUAGAGCCAGAGUGACAACUGCUUCAACUAAUUAUGAAGACAGCUUGCAAACUAUAGCCCCACUUGUUUCAGGCUCCAAAUGAUGACAGUCAGACUGCUGUUCCCGCCAGCUUGAUUUCAGAGCGCUUUUAUUUUCAUAUUCCAAAGGUUUCUGUGCCUCUAAGCAGACAGUAACAAAGGCCUGUGAAUUCAGUUACAGAACACCAAAAGUUUAAGGCGGCAGAUUUUAUUCCUGGCUUUCAAAGAAGACUGGUCACAUCUGAUUCAUCUGAAUAAGUUGGCAAGGACUCUGAUAUGUAAAUAAACUCAAGCAGAUGGAUGAACUGUGUUACAUGUGUAGUCAACCUGCUGGUCUGAGAGACAAAGACAUGAAUAUCCAAGGAAAGUUACAGGCAAAUUACAGGAAACUCCCAGGGACAAAAUCAAAGCAAUAG